GAGAGACUGCCGUCGACAAGACGGAGGAGGCGGGGAUGACGUCAAAUCAUCAUGCCCCUUAUGACCUGGGCUACACACGUGCUACAAUGGUUGGUACAACGGGAUGCUACCUCGCGAGGGGACGCCAAUCUCUGAAAACCAAUCUCAGUUCGGAUUGUAGGCUGCAACUCGCCUACAUGAAGUCGGAAUCGCUAGUAAUCGCGGAUCAGCAUGCCGCGGUGAAUACGUUCCCGGGCCUUGUACACACCGCCCGUCACACCACGGGAGUUUGCAACACCCGAAGUCGGUGAGGUAACCGCAAGGAGCCAGCCGCCGAAGGUGGGGUAGAUGACUGGGGUGA
This 340-nucleotide ribosomal RNA is filed under the name Brevibacillus sp. RNAcentral's name for it is "bacterial SSU rRNA". It matches the Rfam family "Bacterial small subunit ribosomal RNA", at positions 1143 to 1483 of the family's 1533-position model. Lineage: Bacteria; Bacillati; Bacillota; Bacilli; Caryophanales; Paenibacillaceae. The record is from RNAcentral.